UGGAUUUAAGCUCCAUAUAUAAAAUUUAUUAUUUUUGUUAGAAUUAAUUA
This 50-nucleotide transfer RNA is filed under the name Pseudodiamesa stackelbergi. Its description in RNAcentral is "partial tRNA-Leu". The record is from RNAcentral. Lineage: Eukaryota; Metazoa; Arthropoda; Insecta; Diptera; Chironomidae.